GACGAACGCUGGCGGCGUGCUUAACACAUGCAAGUCGAACGGAAAGGCCCUGCUUUUGUGGGGUGCUCGAGUGGCGAACGGGUGAGUAACACGUGAGUAACCUGCCCUUGACUUUGGGAAAACUUCAGGAAACUGGGGCUAAUACCGGAUAGGAGCUCCUGCUGCAUGGUGGGGGUUGGAAAGUUUCGGCGGUUGGGGAUGGACUCGCGGCUUAUCAGCUUGUUGGUGGGGUAGUGGCUUACCAAGGCUUUGACGGGUAGCCGGCCUGAGAGGGUGACCGGCCACAUUGGGACUGAGAUACGGCCCAGACUCCUACGGGAGGCAGCAGUGGGGAAUAUUGCACAAUGGGCGGAAGCCUGAUGCAGCAACGCCGCGUGCGGGAUGACGGCCUUCGGGUUGUAAACCGCUUUCGCCUGUGACGAAGCGUGAGUGACGGUAAUGGGUAAAGAAGCACCGGCUAACUACGUGCCAGCAGCCGCGGUGAUACGUAGGGUGCGAGCGUUGUCCGGAUUUAUUGGGCGUAAAGGGCUCGUAGGUGGUUGAUCGCGUCGGAAGUGUAAUCUUGGGGCUUAACCCUGAGCGUGCUUUCGAUACGGGUUGACUUGAGGAAGGUAGGGGAGAAUGGAAUUCCUGGUGGAGCGGUGGAAUGCGCAGAUAUCAGGAGGAACACCAGUGGCGAAGGCGGUUCUCUGGGCCUUUCCUGACGCUGAGGAGCGAAAGCGUGGGGAGCGAACAGGCUUAGAUACCCUGGUAGUCCACGCUGUAAACGGUGGGUACUAGGUGUGGGGUCCAUUCCACGGGUUCCGUGCCGUAGCUAACGCUUUAAGUACCCCGCCUGGGGAGUACGGCCGCAAGGCUAAAACUCAAAGGAAUUGACGGGGCCCCGCACAAGCGGCGGAGCAUGCGGAUUAAUUCGAUGCAACGCGUAGAACCUUACCUGGGUUUGACAUGGAUCGGGAGUGCUCAGAGAUGGGUGUGCCUCUUUUGGGGUCGGUUCACAGGUGGUGCAUGCCUGUCGUCAGCUCGUGUCGUGAGAUGUUGGGUUAAGUCCCGCAACGAGCGCAACCCUUGUUCACUGUUGCCAGCACGUUAUGGUGGGGACUCAGUGGAGACCGCCGGGGUCAACUCGGAGGAAGGUGGGGAUGACGUCAAGUCCUCAUGCCCCUUAUGUCCAGGGCUUCACGCAUGCUACAAUGGCUGGUACAGAGAGUGGCGAGCCUGUGAGGGUGAGCGAAUCUCGGAAAGCCGGUCUCAGUUCGGAUUGGGGUCUGCAACUCGACCUCAUGAAGUCGGAGUCGCUAGUAAUCGCAGAUCAGCAACGCUGCGGUGAAUACGUUCCCGGG
This 1343-nucleotide ribosomal RNA is filed under the name uncultured bacterium. Its description in RNAcentral is "16S ribosomal RNA". It matches the Rfam family "Bacterial small subunit ribosomal RNA", at positions 28 to 1378 of the family's 1533-position model. The record is from RNAcentral.